AGAGUAAAUCAGAUGAUCGCGUGCACCUGCACGAGGAAAGUCCGAGCUCCGUAGAGCAGGAUGCUGGGUAACCCCCAGUGGAGGUGACUCCAAGGAAAGUGCAACAGAAAUAGACCGCCUCUUUUUGAGGUAAGGAUGGAAAGGUGAGGUAAGAGCUCACCAGCGCAUAGGCGACUAUGUGGCUCUGUAAACCCCAUCUGGAGCAAGACCAAGUAGGGUGUAAAAAGGAGGCUGCUCGUCUCCCCCGGUGGUAGGUCGCUUGAGCGGAUCGGUAACGUUUCGCCUAGAUAGAUGAUUGUCUAAUACAGAACUCGGCUUAUAGAUUUACUCAAUUA
Molecule: RNase P RNA, 335 nt
Filed under: Clostridia bacterium
Lineage: Bacteria; Bacillati; Bacillota; Clostridia
Description: RNase P RNA component class A
Rfam family: Bacterial RNase P class A
About the family: Ribonuclease P (RNase P) is a ubiquitous endoribonuclease, found in archaea, bacteria and eukarya as well as chloroplasts and mitochondria. Its best characterised activity is the generation of mature 5'-ends of tRNAs by cleaving the 5'-leader elements of precursor-tRNAs.
Source: RNAcentral